This 357-nucleotide long non-coding RNA is filed under the name Brassica napus (rape). RNAcentral describes it as "long non-coding RNA (BNAP_LNC011633)". Lineage: Eukaryota; Viridiplantae; Streptophyta; Magnoliopsida; Brassicales; Brassicaceae. The record is from RNAcentral.
AGAUUAGAGCUAGGCGGCUAGAACUAGAUUUCUUACUUGCAAAUCAAUAAAAAUACUACAGUAAAAAUUACGUGAGCUCAAGGCGCCGACGACGAGAGAGCAAGAAAUAAGAAGGGAGAGAAGAAAGGCAAAGCCUAUAAAGAAGGAACCGUUGGGAAAAUUCCCGAUGAAGCCGCAAACCUAUUAACUUCAAGACUUUGGGGGAGAUUCAAAAUUCAAAAAUCUUUCCUUCGCUGGCAAAGUGGAUCCCAGUCAAUCUCCUAUAUUUAAGGAAGUAAGUUCUUCAGAAUAAGGCGAGAAUCGGUACCAAAACUGGUAACCUCAGAAGAUCCCGAACUCUAUUCGCGCCAGCAUUGG